RNAcentral lists this ribosomal RNA (938 nucleotides) under uncultured bacterium. Its description in RNAcentral is "bacterial SSU rRNA". It matches the Rfam family "Bacterial small subunit ribosomal RNA", at positions 8 to 916 of the family's 1533-position model. The record is from RNAcentral.
AGAGUUUGAUCCUGGCUCAGGACGAACGCUGGCGGCGUGCCUAAUACAUGCAAGUUGAACGCUGAAGCUUUAACUGAUGCUUGCAUCGACCUAAGUUUUCAGAGUAGCGGACGGGUGAGUAACACGUGGGUAACCUGCCCAUCAGAGGGGGAUAACACUUGGAAACAGGUGCUAAUACCGCAUAAUUCCUUUUACCGCAUGGUAAAAGGCUGAAAGACGCUUCUGGUGUCACUGAUGGAUGGACCCGCGGUGCAUUAGCUAGUCGGUGGGGUAACGGCCUACCGAGGCAAUGAUGCAUAGCCGACCUGAGAGGGUGAUCGGCCACAUUGGGACUGAGACACGGCCCAAACUCCUACGGGAGGCAGCAGUAGGGAAUCUUCGGCAAUGGACGAAAGUCUGACCGAGCAACGCCGCGUGAGUGAAGAAGGUUUUCGGAUCGUAAAACUCUGUUGUUAGAGAAGAACAAGAGAAGUAGUAACUGGCUUCUCCUUGACGGUAUCUAACCAGAAAGCCACGGCUAACUACGUGCCAGCAGCCGCGGUAAUACGUAGGUGGCAAGCGUUGUCCGGAUUUAUUGGGCGUAAAGCGAGCGCAGGCGGUCUUUUAAGUCUGAUGUGAAAGCCCUCGGCUUAACCGAGGAGGGUCAUUGGAAACUGGGAGACUUGAGUGCAGAAGAGGAAAGUGGAACUCCAUGUGUAGCGGUGGAAUGCGUAGAUAUAUGGAAGAACACCAGUGGCGAAGGCGGCUUUCUGGUCUGUAACUGACGCUGAGGCUCGAAAGCGUGGGGAGCAAACAGGAUUAGAUACCCCGGUAGUCCACGCCGUAAACGAUGAGUGCUAAGUGUUGGAGGGUUUCCGCCCUUCAGUGCUGCAGCUAACGCAUUAAGCACUCCGCCUGGGGAGUACGACCGCAAGGUUGAAACUCAAAGGAAUUGACUG